GGUUAAGUUAGAAAGGGCGCACGGUGGAUGCCUUGACACUAGGAGUCGAUGAAGGACGGGACUAACGCCGAUAUGCUUCGGGGAGCUGUAAGUAAGCUUUGAUCCGAAGAUUUCCGAAUGGGGAAACCCACCAUACGUAAUGGUAUGGUAUCCUUAUCUGAAUACAUAGGGUAAGGAAGACAGACCCAGGGAACUGAAACAUCUAAGUACCUGGAGGAAGAGAAAGCAAAUGCGAUUUCCUGAGUAGCGGCGAGCGAAACGGAACAUAGCCCAAACCAAGAGGCUUGCCUCUUGGGGUUGUAGGACAUUCUAUACGGAGUUACAAAGGAACGAGGUAGACGAAGCGACCUGGAAAGGUCCGUCGUAGAGGGUAACAACCCCGUAGUCGAAACUUCGUUCUCUCUUGAAUGUAUCCUGAGUACGGCGGAACACGUGAAAUUCCGUCGGAAUCUGGGAGGACCAUCUCCCAAGGCUAAAUACUCCCUAGUGAUCGAUAGUGAACCAGUACCGUGAGGGAAAGGUGAAAAGCACCCCGGAAGGGGAGUGAAAGAGAUCCUGAAACCGUGUGCCUACAAAUAGUCAGAGCCCGUUAACGGGUGAUGGCGUGCCUUUUGUAGAAUGAACCGGCGAGUUACGAUCCCGUGCGAGGUUAAGCUGAAGAGGCGGAGCCGCAGCGAAAGCGAGUCUGAAUAGGGCGUUUAGUACGUGGUCGUAGACCCGAAACCAGGUGAUCUACCCAUGUCCAGGGUGAAGUUCAGGUAACACUGAAUGGAGGCCCGAACCCACGCACGUUGAAAAGUGCGGGGAUGAGGUGUGGGUAGCGGAGAAAUUCCAAUCGAACCUGGAGAUAGCUGGUUCUCCCCGAAAUAGCUUUAGGGCUAGCCUUAAGUGUAAGAGUCUUGGAGGUAGAGCACUGAUUGGACUAGGGGUCCUCAUCGGAUUACCGAAUUCAGUCAAACUCCGAAUGCCAAUGACUUAUCCUUAGGAGUCAGACUGCGAGUGAUAAGAUCCGUAGUCAAAAGGGAAACAGCCCAGACCGCCAGCUAAGGUCCCAAAGUGUGUAUUAAGUGGAAAAGGAUGUGGAGUUGCUUAGACAACUAGGAUGUUGGCUUAGAAGCAGCCACCAUUUAAAGAGUGCGUAAUAGCUCACUAGUCGAGUGACUCUGCGCCGAAAAUGUACCGGGGCUAAAUACACCACCGAAGCUGCGGAUUGAUACCAAUGGUAUCAGUGGUAGGGGAGCGUUCUAAGGACAGUGAAGUCAGACCGUAAGGACUGGUGGAGUGCUUAGAAGUGAGAAUGCCGGUAUGAGUAGCGAAAGACGGGUGAGAAUCCCGUCCACCGAAUGCCUAAGGUUUCCUGAGGAAGGCUCGUCCGCUCAGGGUUAGUCAGGACCUAAGCCGAGGCCGACAGGCGUAGGCGAUGGACAACAGGUUGAUAUUCCUGUACCACCUCUUUAUCGUUUGAGCAAUGGAGGGACGCAGAAGGAUAGAAGAAGCGUGCGAUUGGUUGUGCACGUCCAAGCAGUUAGGCUGAUAAGUAGGCAAAUCCGCUUAUCGUGAAGGCUGAGCUGUGAUGGGGAAGCUCCUUAUGGAGCGAAGUCUUUGAUUCCCCGCUGCCAAGAAAAGCUUCUAGCGAGAUAAAAGGUGCCUGUACCGCAAACCGACACAGGUAGGCGAGGAGAGAAUCCUAAGGUGUGCGAGAGAACUCUGGUUAAGGAACUCGGCAAAAUGACCCCGUAACUUCGGGAGAAGGGGUGCUUUCUUAACGGAAAGCCGCAGUGAAUAGGCCCAAGCGACUGUUUAGCAAAAACACAGCUCUCUGCGAAGCCGUAAGGCGAAGUAUAGGGGGUGACACCUGCCCGGUGCUGGAAGGUUAAGGAGAGGGGUUAGCGUAAGCGAAGCUCUGAACUGAAGCCCCAGUAAACGGCGGCCGUAACUAUAACGGUCCUAAGGUAGCGAAAUUCCUUGUCGGGUAAGUUCCGACCCGCACGAAAGGUGUAACGAUUUGGGCACUGUCUCAACCAGAGACUCGGUGAAAUUAUAGUACCUGUGAAGAUGCAGGUUACCCGCGACAGGACGGAAAGACCCCGUGGAGCUUUACUGUAGCCUGAUAUUGAAUUUUGGUACAGUUUGUACAGGAUAGGCGGGAGCCAUUGAAACCGGAGCGCUAGCUUCGGUGGAGGCGCUGGUGGGAUACCGCCCUGACUGUAUUGAAAUUCUAACCUACGGGUCUUAUCGACCCGGGAGACAGUGUCAGGUGGGCAGUUUGACUGGGGCGGUCGCCUCCUAAAGUGUAACGGAGGCGCCCAAAGGUUCCCUCAGAAUGGUUGGAAAUCAUUCGUAGAGUGCAAAGGCAUAAGGGAGCUUGACUGCGAGACCUACAAGUCGAGCAGGGACGAAAGUCGGGCUUAGUGAUCCGGUGGUUCCGCAUGGAAGGGCCAUCGCUCAACGGAUAAAAGCUACCCCGGGGAUAACAGGCUUAUCUCCCCCAAGAGUCCACAUCGACGGGGAGGUUUGGCACCUCGAUGUCGGCUCAUCGCAUCCUGGGGCUGUAGUCGGUCCCAAGGGUUGGGCUGUUCGCCCAUUAAAGCGGUACGCGAGCUGGGUUCAGAACGUCGUGAGACAGUUCGGUCCCUAUCCGUCGUGGGCGUAGGAAAUUUGAGAGGAGCUGUCCUUAGUACGAGAGGACCGGGAUGGACGCACCGCUGGUGUACCAGUUGUUCUGCCAAGGGCAUAGCUGGGUAGCUAUGUGCGGAAGGGAUAAGUGCUGAAAGCAUCUAAG
RNAcentral lists this ribosomal RNA (2782 nucleotides) under Bacillus cereus. Its description in RNAcentral is "bacterial LSU rRNA". It matches the Rfam family "Bacterial large subunit ribosomal RNA". The record is from RNAcentral. Lineage: Bacteria; Bacillati; Bacillota; Bacilli; Caryophanales; Bacillaceae.